Molecule: long non-coding RNA, 208 nt
Filed under: Phoenix dactylifera (date palm)
Lineage: Eukaryota; Viridiplantae; Streptophyta; Magnoliopsida; Arecales; Arecaceae
Description: long non-coding RNA (PDAC_LNC011731)
Source: RNAcentral
GGGUUGGAACAAUUCCAACUCUUCUCAUUCGGGUUCACUGAUCACCAAGUGAAUGCCUUUGAGUCUCACAAUCCACCAGUGACACCUAGCAGCAUGUAGUGACAACCCAGCAGAAUGGAAUGAUGAACCUCUAGAUGUAGUUAGUGUAUGAUACAGUCCCUCUAUCGUGGAUCCCGACAAGACGGAGGUUAUGGAUAACUCGUCAAAC